AACUUUCAACAACGGAUCUCUUGGUUCUGGCAUCGAUGAAGAACGCAGCAAACUGCGAUAAGUAAUGCGAAUUGCAGAAUUCAGCGAGUCAUCGAAUCUUUGAACGCACAUUGCGCCCGCCAGCACUCUGGCGGGCAUGCCUGUCCGAGCGUCA
RNAcentral lists this ribosomal RNA (154 nucleotides) under Grosmannia crassivaginata. Its description in RNAcentral is "5.8S ribosomal RNA". It matches the Rfam family "5.8S ribosomal RNA". From Rfam's summary of the family: 5.8S ribosomal RNA (5.8S rRNA) is a component of the large subunit of the eukaryotic ribosome. Lineage: Eukaryota; Fungi; Ascomycota; Sordariomycetes; Ophiostomatales; Ophiostomataceae. RNAcentral also lists the same sequence under 2 other names. The record is from RNAcentral.